Non-coding RNA from Gavia stellata (red-throated loon), 357 nucleotides. The record is from the annotation of a RefSeq genome assembly. NCBI's taxonomy places the organism in Eukaryota, Metazoa, Chordata, Aves, Gaviiformes, Gaviidae.
AUGCAGCGGUGCCGGGGCGCAGGGCUGGCGGGGCUGGCCGCACUGCUCCUGGUAGUUGCAGGCAGAGCCCAGGUGCAUCAGGACCCAUCAGCAGAGACCACCGAGGGCACCGGCAUCAGCAUCAACUGCUCACACCCCAACAUACAGUCUUACGACUUCAUCCACUGGUACCGUCAGCUCCCUGGCAGAGGACCCGCAUUCCUCGCACUCGCUCUUAAAGAGUCCAAAGAGCUGCGGGACCCGCCGGGGCGGCUGUCGGUGGCAGCAGACCGCCGGUCCAGCACCCUGUGGCUUGCCCGAGCCAAGCGCGGGGACGCGGCGGUGUAUUACUGCAGCCUCCUUGUGGCAGAGGUGUGA